RNAcentral lists this ribosomal RNA (366 nucleotides) under uncultured bacterium. RNAcentral's name for it is "partial 16S ribosomal RNA". It matches the Rfam family "Bacterial small subunit ribosomal RNA", at positions 338 to 701 of the family's 1533-position model. The record is from RNAcentral.
CCUACGGGUGGCAGCAGUGAGGAAUAUUGGUCAAUGGGCGCGAGCCUGAAUCAGCCAAGUAGCGUGAAGGAUGACUGCCCUACGGGUUGUAAACUUCUUUUAUAAAGGAAUAAAGUGAGGCACGUGUGCCUUUUUGUAUGUACUUUAUGAAUAAGGAUCGGUUAACUCCGUGCCAGCAGCCGCGGUAAUACGGUGGUUCCGAGCGUUAUUCGGGUUUAUUGGGUUUUAAGGGGGCGUAGAUGGGUUGUUAAGUCAGUUGUUAAAGUUUGCGGCUCAACCGUAAACUUGCAAUUGAUACUGGCAGCCUUGAGUACAGUUGAGGUAGGCGGAAUUCGUGGUGUAGCGGUGAAAUGCUUAGAUAUCACG